CCUACGGGGGGCUGCAGUGGGGAAUAUUGCGCAAUGGGCGAAAGCCUGACGCAGCGACGCCGCGUGGGUGAUGAAGGCCUUCGGGUUGUAAAGCCCUGUCGGGUGGAACGAACGAUCUGGCGGCGAAUAACCGCCGGGUGUGACGGUACCACCGAAGGAAGCCCCGGCUAACUACGUGCCAGCAGCCGCGGUAAGACGUAGGGGGCUUGCGUGGUUCGGAAGUACGGGGCGGAAAGCACGCGAAGCGGGCGUGAAAUCCCUCGGCUUAACCGAGGUCCCGCAUCCGAUACUGUCUGGCUCGAGUCUAGGAGAGGAAAGCGGAAUUCCCAGUGUAGCGGUGAAAUGUAGAUAUUGGGAGGAACACCGGUGGCGAAGGCGGCUUUCCGGACUAGUACUGACGCUGAGGCGCGAAAGCUAGGGGAGCGAACGGGAUUAGAUACCCCAGUAGUC
This 450-nucleotide ribosomal RNA is filed under the name uncultured bacterium. RNAcentral's name for it is "partial 16S ribosomal RNA". It matches the Rfam family "Bacterial small subunit ribosomal RNA", at positions 338 to 795 of the family's 1533-position model. The record is from RNAcentral.